GAUGAACGCUGGCGGCGUGCCUAAUACAUGCAAGUCGAGCGAACAGACGAGGAGCUUGCUCCUCUGACGUUAGCGGCGGACGGGUGAGUAACACGUGGAUAACCUACCUAUAAGACUGGGAUAACUUCGAGAAACCGGAGCUAAUACCGGAUAAUAUAUUGAACCGCAUGGUUCAAUAGUGAAAGACUGUUUUGCUGUCACUUAUAUAUGUAUCCUCGCCGCAUUAGCUAGUUGGUAAGGUAACGGCUUACCAAGGCAACGAUGCGUAGCCGACCUGAGAGGGUGAUCGGCCACACUGGAACUGAGACACGGUCCAGACUCCUACGGGAGGCAGCAGUAGGGAAUCUUCCGCAAUGGGCGAAAGCCUGACGGAGCAACGCCGCGUGAGUGAUGAAGGUCUUCGGAUCGUAAAACUCUGUUAUUAGGGAAGAACAAAUGUGUAAGUAACUAUGCACGUCUUGACGGUACCUAAUCAGAAAGCCACGGCUAACUACGUG
This 497-nucleotide ribosomal RNA is filed under the name uncultured bacterium. RNAcentral's name for it is "partial 16S ribosomal RNA". It matches the Rfam family "Bacterial small subunit ribosomal RNA", at positions 28 to 507 of the family's 1533-position model. The record is from RNAcentral.